CUUACUCGAAAGAUUUGGUUGAGAAUUGAGGGAGAACGAGCGGUUGGAAGUUGUGACAAAACCGACUUGUUUUUGGACGGAAUCCGGCGACUACAGCGGCGGCUGGCAGCAGGGAGCGGUCGGGGCUUGAAGACGGAACCGAGCUGGUUCUAUUGGCGCCGACGGCAAGGGCAUAGGUGGUCGGUGGCGGAAGUUAUGGUGCUUGGAAGGUGACGGCUGAGGAAGGCAACGGGAGAGGGAGAGAGAGAGAGAGAGAGAGAGAGAGAAGCUGAGGUUUAUAUAUAAAAAAAAUCUGAUUUUUCUAAUUACCAUUUUGCCCCUCGUGAUCUUUUAAUCGUAUUUUCUUCGUUACAACUCCGAUUCGAGCUUACUUCGUGUCUAUGAACUCGUGUCGUCGUGCUCUACGCAACGGUGUAUGUGGAAUUGUCAAAUUCCUUUUCGGUCAAAAAGUCAACAUUGAGUUCAUAAGUGAGUCAAAUGGCAAAAUUGUCUUUCCGCAUAAUAAAUUACUAAUUACAUGUGAAUUUUAGGUUUGGGUCUUUACAACCUACCCCCCUUAUACAAAUUUCGUCCUCGAAAUUUACGCACCUGUCACUCGAAGAGGUGAAGGUACUGCUCCCGCAUUUGGUCUUCGGGUUCCCAUGUAGCCUCUUCUACAGUAUGACUCCUCCAUAAGACUUUCACAAGUGGAAUCUCUCUCGAUCGCAACACUUGCGUCUUCCAAUCCAAAAUCUGAACUGGUUGCUCCACAUAAGUGAAAUCAGCCUCCAAUUCUACUGGUUGCUCCUCUAACACAUGGGAAGGGUCGGAAAUAUACUUUCGGAGCAUGGAGAUAUGAAAAACAUCAUGCAAUCGAGCUAGAUCUGAAGGCAAAGUAAGUCUGUAAGCUACUGGACCCACACGCUCUAUAAUCUCAUAGGGUCCAAUAUAGCGAGGACUUAGUUUUCCCCGCUUCCCAAAUCUUACUACACCUUUCCAAGGUGAUAGUUUCAAAAAUACCCAGUCUCCAACUUCAAACUGAAGAUCUUUUCUUCGAUUGUCCGCAUAGCUCUUUUGUCGGUCCUGGGCUGUCUUGAGUCGUUCUCUAAUGAUUUGCACUUGUUUCUUGGUCAAUUCAACAUCCUCAGAUACGACCAAUCUGUGUUCACCCACUUCAUCCCAAUAGAAUGGAGUUCUGCACUGUCUCCCAUACAAAGCAUCAAAUGGAGACAUUCCGAUACUUACUUGAUAACUGUUAUUAUAUGCAAACUCCAUAAGUGGUAACUUCUCAUCCCAAUCACCCCGAAACUGAAGUGCACAGGCUCUCAACAUAUCUUCUAGUGUCUGAAUGGUCCUCUCAGACUGACCAUCUGUCUGGGGGUGAAAUGCAGUACUAAACUGCAAUUGGGUUCCAAAAGCUUCAUUUAACUUUGUCCAAAAUCGGGAUGUAAACCGUGGGUCACGAUCUGAAACAAUGGAUACUGGUACUCCAUGAAGUCUCACGAUCUCAUCUAUGAAAAGCUUAGCCAGUUUGUUCAAACUAUAAUUUGCUCUCACCGGCAGAAAAUGAGCGGACUUGGUGAGUCGAUCCACGAUGACCCAUACUCCGUCAUGCUUACUUUGUGUUCGGGGCAGCUUGAACACAAAAUCCAUCGUAAUCCGCUCCCACUUCCACUCAGGAAUUGGAAGUGGUUGCAAUAGCCCUGAUGGUUUCUGUCGCUCAGCUUUCACUUGCUGACAAAUUAAGCAUCUUCUGACAUACUCUGCUAUUUCUUUCUUCAUAAAAGGCCACCAGUAGUGCUCUCGCAGAGUAUGGUACAUUUUUGUGCUUCCAGGGUGCAUUGCAAACGCUGAUUCAUGGGCCUCCUCAAGAAUCUCCCUUUUUAAAGCUUCAUCAUUAGGGACAUAUAACCUGUUACCUACCAUUAACGCUCCAUCAUUUCUUACAGAACAAUCAGUUCUGUCGCCAUUUGCAACCUCUACUCGCAGUGUGCAAAUCAAAGGAUCCUGAGAUUGAGCUGCGAGUAUUCGUUCUACUAGCACUGGUCUCACAUGGAGAGUAGCUAACAGUGCUCCCUGAUUAUCCACAUCUAGCCCAACUCUGAGCUUCCUCAUUUCCACCAUCAAUGGUAAAUAUUUUCCUCGAAGAUAAGCUAUAGAUCCUGAAGAUUUUCUACUGAGUGCAUCAGCAACAACAUUAGCUCUUCCUGGGUGAUGCUCGAUGGUACAGUCAUAAUCUUUUAUCAACUCCAACCAUCUUCUUUGCCUCAAAUUUAAUUCCUUCUAGGUGAAUAAAUACGUCAAACUCUUGUGAUCUGUAAAGAUCUGGCAUGUUUCCCCAUAAAGAUAAUGCCGCCAAAUCUUUAAGGCAAACACUACUGCAGCAAGUUCCAAAUCAUGAACAGGAUAAUUCAGCUCAUGCUUCUUCAGUUGUCUAGAAGCAUAGGCGAUCACCCUACCAUGCUGCAUCAGCACACACCCAAGUCCUUGUUGAGACGCAUCACUGUAGAUCACGAAGUUCCCACUAUCAUCCGGAAGUGCUAAAACCGGAGCAGUGGUCAGCCUGGUCUUGAGUUCAAUGAAACUUUCUUCACACUUAUCUGACCACACAAACUUAACUCCUUUCCGUGUCAAAUAGGUGAGAGGUGCCGCUAUGGUGGAGAACCCUUCCACGAAGCGACGGUAAUACCCGGCUAACCCCAGAAAACUUCGUAUCUCGGUAACACUGGUUGGUCGUAGCCAAUUGACUACUGCUUCAAUCUUUUGAGGAUCAACAUAAAUGCCCUCUGCAGAGAUCACGUGUCCCAAGAAGCUCACUCUGUCUAACCAACAUUGACACUUGCUGAAUUUGGCAUACAGUUGUCUUCUUCUCAGAGUCCUCAACACAAGGUUUAAAUGCUUCAUAUGUGCCUUCUGACUCUUUGAAUACACCAGAAUGUCAUCUAUGAACACAAUCACAAAGCGAUCCAAGUAACGUCGAAACACUCUGUUCAUGAGGUCCAUAAAUGCAGCUGGCGCAUUUGUUAAUCCAAAUGGCAUCACCAGGAACUCAUAGUGCCCGUACCUCGUUCGAAACGCAGUUUUAGGCACAUCCUCUUCUCUAACCCGUAACUGAUGAUAUCCAGACCUCAGGUCAAUCUUAGAAAAGACCUUGGCACCCUUCAGCUGAUCAAACAAGUCAUCAAUGCGAGGCAAUGGAUAUCUAUUCCGCACUGUGAUCUUGUUCAGCUGUCUGUAAUCAACGCAUAACCUCAUGGUGCCAUCCUUUUUCUUAACAAAUAAAACUGGAGCACCCCAUGGAGAAAAACUGGGGCGGAUAAAACCCUUAUCUACCAGCUCCUGUAACUGCGUCUUUAACUCCCUCAACUCUGCUGGUGCCAUUCUGUAUGGUGCUUGCGAAAUAGGAUUUGUUCCUGGAGCGAGUUCAAUAACAAACUCAAUCUCCCGAUGAGGAGGUAAUCCAGGAAGAUCCUCAGGAAAUACAUCUGGAAAGUCCUGUAUGACUGGAAUAUCCUCCAAUCGCAGCCCAUUAUCUCUGGUAUCAAUGACAUGUGCUAUGUAUCCUGAGCACCCUUUUCGCAGCAACCGUUUUGCCGUCAUAGCUGAAAUGAGGCAAGAUGGAAGCACUCGGCGUUCGCCAUAAAAAGUUACUUCAGGUUGUCCGGGACUAUGGAAUACAACUUCUUUCCGGAAGCAAUCUACAGAGGCACGAUGUCUGGCUAACCAAUCCAUCCCUAAGAUGACAUCCAAGUCAACCAUGCCCAAGGGAAUUAAAUCUGCUUCUAAAAACACAUUUCCCACCAUCACUGUACUAUCGCGAUACACGAUACCUACCCUAAAAAUCUCUCAUGUAGGUACUGAGAUCGCCAGUUCAGUCUGCAGAGCCGAAAGUCGAACGUUGGCAUUAUGGGUAAAACUAGGUGUGACAAACGAGUGUGUAGCCCCAGGGUCAAUUAAAACUCUAGCAGGAAUGCCAAAGACCGGUAAAAUACCUGUAAUUACGUCAGGCGAUGCAUGUGCUUCCUGCUGGGACAUGCUAUAUACUCUGCCUGUGGCUCUGGAACGUCCACCACGUCCCCUCUGCUGACUACUGCCACGACUGGCAACACUGGUCUGGGCACCACCACUGGACGAAGCCUCCACAUACGGUGGUAUCUCCUGUGAUCGACCCUGCAUAACUGUCCCUGGAAUUGGCGCAUCACUGGUCUCUCUAGUCUGCAGGAACGGGCAAUCCUUCCGAAAAUGUCCAGGUUGUCCACAGUAAUAGCAUCCAGUAGUACCCUGCUGGCAAGGCCCAGAAUGGUACCUGCCACAUCUAGCGCAUUGGGGGCGACUCCUCCUACCAGAUCCUGAUAGUAACUGUCUUCCAGCACCUCUUGCACUACCCCCAGAGCGGUUUCCAGAACUGCUACUUUGGUUAGAACCUCCGCUGGAGCUAAAUCCAGGUCGGUAACCUCCAUAGCUGCGACCACUGGAUGAUCCCGAGCUGUAACUGCCCCUCUUAGAUGAUCCUUGGCUAGGACCACCUAUUUCAAACUGCUGCCUACGGAGUUCACCCCGUGGUCUGGCCAUCAUCUGGCUGCUUUCAAUCAGCGAGGCAGACAUCACCACAUCACCAAAAUUGGUCAAUCGCUGACUGAUCACAAUAUCUCUGAUAGAGGCCUUUAAUCCCAUAGUGAACAGCUGACACUUCUUACUUUCAUCCUCCACCAGUGGAAGACAAUACUUAGACAGGUCAUGAAACCUCUUCUCAUACUCUAAUACAGUCAUCAUCCCCUGUUCUAGCUGCAAAAACUCUUGCAUCUUCAAAUUCUGGUACGCUUGUGGGUAAUACUGACUGUCAAACGCAGCUCUGAAGACUUGCCAUGUAAUAGCUAAAGGAUCCCUGUAUCGCCUCUUGACUGAAUCCCACCAAUGUCUGGCAUUUUUGAUCAAGAAGAAGGUGGCCAAAGGAACCCUACUGUGCUGUGGAACAGCCAUGACUUCCAUGAUCCACUCCAUCUUUUCAAUCCACUCCUCAGCUACUGCUGGGGUACCAUCACCAUCAAAGUCAGUGGCCCCUAUCCUCUUCGCUUGAUCAGCAUAUCCCAGGGAGGGAUCUCUGGGCUGCCCAGUCCUGGCUAAAGCCUGCAUCAGCAACUCCAAGGUCUGCUGAAAGUGGGGAUCUCCCUGCAUAGGAGGCAUAGCAGGUACGGCUCCUGACGAACCUCCAACAACAGAUUGCUCUACCGGUUCAGGUACCGGUGCAGGAACAGGAACUUCCUCCUGCCCGAGCUGGGGAUCUUGUCCCCUCUGUCGGGACGACUGUCUAGUCCCUCUACGGACACCACCACGUUUAGGGCCCAUCUUUACUGUCACAAAAACAGAUGUUCAGGAAAACAAGGAUGCACAUAGUGCGAAGUCUACAGGAAAUUAAACCUAAUGCUCUGAUACCAAGUUGACAGGACCCGAUCCAAAUUCCACUUUGGAAUCCGAGCCAGACCCUGUGCGUGUCCGACACCUGGCGAAUGUCGGGCACAAAUGAUCUAUUUGCCCUUCUAUACAAACAUGCUAAAAAUAACAAGGUUGACUUCUACCGAAAAACCGGCAGAGUUUCCCUAGUAUCUGGCUCAAUACCAAAAUCUUACACCUGUCAAACAAGUAUAUAUGUACAACCAACUGCCAGCAUACAUAUAUAUAUUCCAACAGUUCAAAUCUCAGUCUAGGGCAAAACAUCAGAGCGACUACUAAAAAUUUACAAAAGAGUGAAUCUUUGUACAAAAUACAAAUCCUACAUCAAAGAAAGGCGCGGAAGAUGGGAAGUGGCCCGGUGGUGGAUUCCUGUGCACGUCUACUGCCUGGGGGCGCAAAACAACAAGAAGGGUGAGUGGACCCAAAAAAAACAAAGUUUAGAAAAUACUAGAUGAACAUACUAACCCCACUGUAAAAACAGUUAUACAAACUAGCUUAUUUUUUUUAUUUCUGAAAUCAAUGAAUGUAUAUAACUAUACAUUUGAAAACAGUUGAAAACUAUCACCUAGGUGUACCCCUAUUUCCGUCAAUUCCUUAUAUCCGUCAAUUCCUUGCAUCACCAUGGGUGGCGCAUACUCGCAGGUCUCAGUGACAAGAGGUCAGUCUGAGCCGCAACUCGCAGGAUUCAGGGAACCGUAGUCCGUCUUUAUCCGCAUUACUCGCUCCACACGAGUUCGAGUACCAAGGAACUCGUGGGGCAACUGUCAAGCAUGCUGACUAAACCGAAGGCAACAAAUAUAAUCCGAAGGCAACAUGUAAUAACUGGGUACAAGGUGGUUUAAGAAAAUAUAAAGUUUCUGAAGAAAAUCUUAUGAAUAAUUAACUUUCUGUAACCUUUAAAAUUUUGCUGCCAUUUAUCUGAUAAUUAACGAGAAUAUCUUUUCCUAUAUUCUUAAAAGGAAACUUCACUCGGCAGCAUGUAACAUAAAAUAUUUAACAGCAUAAAACAGCUUAUAACUGAAAUUGAACUGCUUAACUGAAACUGAACUGAUUAAAUUCAUUUAUAAAAACAAAGAGUCCACUCACUGAUAGUCUGAGCUCGCUGGACCUCUUGAAGGUCCCUCCUGCGGGUCAACUGGUGCCCGGGUGCCUGAUUCAAUGACCAUAAUAUUCUAUUAAUACAAUAUAGUAUUAAAUAAAAACAAAAACCCUACCCCCGGCUCCUAAAAGUACGUGCGUCAAUUUAAAGUGAUCCCUAUGCCCAUAACAGCUCUCCUUCCACGUGGGAUAGUUUAGCGAUAUCUUGGGACUCAAAAAGCGCUAAAGUCCAAAAAGUCAAUCCGGAACCCCACGGGUAUAAUAUGAUUCGGAUGCCGCUAAAAGGUCCAAUAUAUUUAGGACACAUGUCCCGAGGGUAUUGGUGUCAAUCGGACGGUCGGAUUAAUUACGAUCGUGUAAUCGCAUAAUUUCUAAACCCUAGCCCUAGGGUUCGCGAUUUCGGAGUAUCCGGGACUCCGAUUCGCAAUCCGUCGAAUCCUACACAAUCCUGAAAUCAUGUAGACCGACAUAUCCAAAAUUCAGUGUGAUCCACCGAUUUGACGACACUGCACCCAAGGAUCGCGCGAUAUGAAAAAUCCGUUCGGGGCUCAAACGAACUCCGAAUCGAGAUCCGCAAAAUCCUACGUGCUCGUGACGACACGAGGGUCACAAAACUGUACAACAUGACUUCACCACCCUCGCCCAUGCGCCCCAGCACGCGCGGGCAGAUUCGGGUGUCUUAAGCGAUUUCGGGUGGCCGAAAAAUCUCGGAACCAGGACUCCAAACUCCUAUCCUAGGUAAAACACUCCAUUUGGAGUCACUUUUGUUCUUGGACCUACCCCAAAAAGUGACUGGAAGUGGCCGAAAACAGAGGCCGAAAAUCGGCUGAAACUUCAAUUUAUAAACUGGGCAAUCUACGGCUAAAAUUGAUAAAAACCUAUCCAACCAUCAGCUAGAGCACGAAAAAUAGAUGAGAAUCCAUACCUUACUCGAAAGAUUUGGUUGAGAAUUGAGGGAGAACGAGCGGUUGGAAGUUGUGACAAAACCGACUCGUUUUUGGACGGAAUCCGGCGACUACAGCGGCGGCUGGCAGCAGGGAGCGGUCGGGGCUUGAAGAGGGAACCGAGCUGGUUCUAUUGUCGCCGACGGCAAGGGCAUAGGUGGUCGGUGGCGGAAGUUAUGGUGCUUGGAAGGUGACGGCUGAGGAAGGCAACGGGAGAGGGAGAGAGAGAGAGAGAGAGAGAGAGAGAGAGAGAAGCUGAGGUUUAUAUAAAAAAAAAAUCUGAUUUUUCUAAUUACCAUUUUGCCCCUCGUGAUCUUUUAAUCGUAUUUUCUUCGUUACAACUCCGAUUCGAGCUUACUUCGUGUCUAUGAACUCGUGUCGUCGUGCUCUACGCAACGGUGUAUGUGGAAUUGUCAAAUUCCUUUUCG
RNAcentral lists this long non-coding RNA (7900 nucleotides) under Prunus persica (peach). RNAcentral describes it as "long non-coding RNA (PPER_LNC005769)". Lineage: Eukaryota; Viridiplantae; Streptophyta; Magnoliopsida; Rosales; Rosaceae. The record is from RNAcentral.